Molecule: small RNA, 28 nt
Filed under: Bombyx mori (domestic silkworm)
Lineage: Eukaryota; Metazoa; Arthropoda; Insecta; Lepidoptera; Bombycidae
Description: ovarian small RNA-30756
Source: RNAcentral
UGAACGCAUUGGCGAUAUCGAGUGAUAC